CAGAGUAUAGUCUAGGUAGUCAGGCACCUCACUUACACCGAGGAAACAUCCAUGCAAGUUGGAUUGCUCUGA
Molecule: transfer RNA, 72 nt
Filed under: Amblygaster sirm (spotted sardinella)
Lineage: Eukaryota; Metazoa; Chordata; Actinopteri; Clupeiformes; Clupeidae
Description: tRNA-Val
Source: RNAcentral